This 114-nucleotide ribosomal RNA is filed under the name Streptococcus pneumoniae. The record is from RNAcentral. Lineage: Bacteria; Bacillati; Bacillota; Bacilli; Lactobacillales; Streptococcaceae.
AGUGACGAUAGCCUAGGAGAUACACCUGUACCCAUGCCGAACACAGAAGUUAAGCCCUAGAACGCCGGAAGUAGUUGGGGGUGGCCCCCUGUGAGAUAGGGAAGUCGCUUAGCU